This 438-nucleotide ribosomal RNA is filed under the name uncultured bacterium. RNAcentral's name for it is "bacterial SSU rRNA". It matches the Rfam family "Bacterial small subunit ribosomal RNA", at positions 954 to 1392 of the family's 1533-position model. The record is from RNAcentral.
GCUAAACGCGAAGAACCUUACCCAGACUUGACAUACACUAGACCGCUUCAGAAAUGAAGCUUCCCUUCGGGGCUGGUGCACAGGUGCUGCAUGGCUGUCGUCAGCUCGUGCCGUGAGGUGUUGGGUUAAGUCCCGCAACGAGCGCAACCCUUAUCAUUAGUUGCCAACACGUAAUGGUGGGAACUCUAAUGAGACUGCCUGGGUUAACCAGGAGGAAGGUGAGGAUGACGUCAAGUCCGCAUGGCCCUUAUGUCUGGGGCUACACACGUGCUACAAUGGUCGGUACAAAAGGCAGCGAAACCGUGAGGUGAAGCAAAUCCCGAAAGCCGGCCCCAGUUCAGAUUGUAGUCUGCAACUCGACUACAUGAAGAUGGAAUUGCUAGUAAUGGCGAGUCAGCAACAUCGCCGUGAAUACGUUCCCGGGUCUUGUACACACCG